UACGUAGGUGGCAAGCGUUGUCCGGAAUUAUUGGGCGUAAAGCGCGCGCAGGUGGUUCUUUAAGUCUGAUGUGAAAGCCCACGGCUCAACCGUGGAGGGUCAUUGGAAACUGGGGGACUUGAGUGCAGAAGAGGAAAGUGGAAUUCCAAGUGUAGCGGUGAAAUGCGUAGAGAUUUGGAGGAACACCAGUGGCGAAGGCGACUUUCUGGUCUGUAACUGACACUGAGGCGCGAAAGCGUGGGGAGCAAACAGG
This 253-nucleotide ribosomal RNA is filed under the name uncultured bacterium. Its description in RNAcentral is "partial 16S ribosomal RNA". It matches the Rfam family "Bacterial small subunit ribosomal RNA", at positions 524 to 776 of the family's 1533-position model. The record is from RNAcentral.